RNAcentral lists this ribosomal RNA (425 nucleotides) under uncultured bacterium. RNAcentral's name for it is "partial 16S ribosomal RNA". It matches the Rfam family "Bacterial small subunit ribosomal RNA", at positions 354 to 796 of the family's 1533-position model. The record is from RNAcentral.
GUGGGGAAUCUUGCGCAAUGGGCGAAAGCCUGACGCAGCCAUGCCGCGUGAAUGAUGAAGGUCUUAGGAUUGUAAAAUUCUUUCACCGGGGACGAUAAUGACGGUACCCGGAGAAGAAGCUCCGGCUAACUUCGUGCCAGCAGCCGCGGUAAUACGAAGGGGGCUAGCGUUACUCGGAAUUACUGGGCGUAAAGGGCGCGUAGGCGGACAGCUUAGUCAGAGGUGAAAGCCCAGGGCUCAACCUUGGAAUUGCCUUUGAUACUGGCUGUCUUGAGUUUGGGAGAGGUGAGUGGAACUCCGAGUGUAGAGGUGAAAUUCGUAGAUAUUCGGAAGAACACCAGUGGCGAAGGCGACUCACUGGCCCAAUACUGACGCUGAGGCGCGAAAGCGUGGGGAGCAAACAGGAUUAGAAACCCCGGUAGUCC